UGAUGUGAUAUACCAGCACUAACGCAUCGGAUCCCAUCAAAACUCCUAAGUUAAGCGUGCUUAGGCGAGAGUAGUACUAGGAUGGGUGAGAAGUCCUCGUGUUGCAUCUU
This 110-nucleotide ribosomal RNA is filed under the name Solanum lycopersicum (tomato). The record is from RNAcentral. Lineage: Eukaryota; Viridiplantae; Streptophyta; Magnoliopsida; Solanales; Solanaceae.